UGAGGAAUAUUGGGCAAUGGAGGCAACUCUGACCCAGCCAUGCCGCGUGAGUGAGAAGGUUUUCGAAUUGUAAAGCUCUUUCAGGUGAGAAGAUGAUGACGGUAUCACCAGAAGAAGCCCCGGCAAACUUCGUGCCAGCAGCCGCGGUAAUACGAAGGGGGCGAGCGUUGUUCGGAAUUACUGGGCGUAAAGGGUGUGUAGGCGGUUAUAUAAGAUAGUGGUGAAAUGCCGGGGCUCAACCUUGGAAUUGCCAUUAUGACUGUAUAUCUUGAAUUGUGUAGAGGAUAGUGGAAUACCCAGUGUAGAGGUGAAAUUCGUAGAUAUUGGGUAGAACACCAGAGGCGAAGGCGACUAUCUGGGCACAUAUUGACGCUGAGGCACGAAAGCAUGGGGAUCAAACA
RNAcentral lists this ribosomal RNA (401 nucleotides) under uncultured Pseudomonadota bacterium. RNAcentral's name for it is "uncultured proteobacterium partial 16S ribosomal RNA". It matches the Rfam family "Bacterial small subunit ribosomal RNA", at positions 355 to 774 of the family's 1533-position model. The record is from RNAcentral. Lineage: Bacteria; Pseudomonadati; Pseudomonadota.